This 445-nucleotide ribosomal RNA is filed under the name uncultured bacterium. Its description in RNAcentral is "partial 16S ribosomal RNA". It matches the Rfam family "Bacterial small subunit ribosomal RNA", at positions 354 to 796 of the family's 1533-position model. The record is from RNAcentral.
GUGAGGAAUAUUGCGCAAUGGAGGUAACUCUGACGCAGCCAUGCCGCGUGCAGGAAGAAGGCGCUACGCGUUGUAAACUGCUUUUAACCGGGAAGAAACCCCAGGACGUGUCCUGGGUUGACGGUACCGGAGGAAUAAGCACCGGCUAACUUCGUGCCAGCAGCCGCGGUAAUACGAAGGGUGCAAGCGUUAUCCGGAUUCAUUGGGUUUAAAGGGUGCGUAGGCGGAGCGUUAAGUCAGUGGUGAAAUCCUGCAGCUUAACUGUAGACUUGCCAUUGAUACUGGCGCUCUUGAGUGCGCUUGAAGUGGGCGGAAUGUGCCGUGUAGCGGUGAAAUGCUUAGAUAUGGCACAGAACACCAAUUGCGAAGGCAGCUCACUAAGGCGAUACUGACGCUGAGGCACGAAAGCGUGGGGAUCGAACAGGAUUAGAAACCCGGGUAGUCC